UGAGGAAUAUUGGACAAUGGAGGCAACUCUGAUCCAGCCAUGCCGCGUGAAGGACUAAGGCCCUAUGGGUCGUAAACUUCUUUUGACGCAGAGCAAUAAGGAUUACGUGUAGUCUGAUGAGAGUAUGCGUCGAAUAAGCAUCGGCUAACUCCGUGCCAGCAGCCGCGGUAAUACGGAGGAUGCAAGCGUUAUCCGGAUUUAUUGGGUUUAAAGGGUGCGUAGGCGGAUGGGUAAGUCAGCGGUGAAAUGUCCCGGCUCAACCGGGGAACUGCCAUUGAUACUGCCUGUCUUGAAUGCGGAUGCCGUGGGAGGAAUGUGUAGUGUAGCGGUGAAAUGCGUAGAUAUUAGGAGGAACACCAGUGGCGAAGGCGGCCAACUGGGCUUUACUGA
Molecule: ribosomal RNA, 390 nt
Filed under: uncultured bacterium
Lineage: Bacteria
Description: bacterial SSU rRNA
Rfam family: Bacterial small subunit ribosomal RNA
Source: RNAcentral